GAUGAACGCUGGCGGCGUGCCUAAUACAUGCAAGUCGAGCGAACGGACGAGAAGCUUGCUUUUCUGAUGUUAGCGGCGGACGGGUGAGUAACACGUGGAUAACCUACCUAUAAGACUGGGAUAACUUCGGGAAACCGGAGCUAAUACCGGAUAAUAUUUUGAACCGCAUGGUUCAUUAGUGAAAGACGGUCUUGCUGUCACUUAUAGAUGGAUCCGCGCUGCAUUAGCUAGUUGGUAAGGUAACGGCUUACCAAGGCAACGAUGCAUAGCCGACCUGAGAGGGUGAUAGGCCACACUGGAACUGAGACACGGUCCAGACUCCUACGGGAGGCAGCAGUAGGGAAUCUUCCGCAAUGGGCGAAAGCCUGACGGAGCAACGCCGCGUGAGUGAUGAAGGUCUUCGGAUCGUAAAACUCUGUUAUUAGGGAAGAACAUAUGUGUAAGUAACUGUACACAUCUUGACGGUACCUAAUCAGAAAGCCACGGCUAACUACGUG
This 497-nucleotide ribosomal RNA is filed under the name uncultured bacterium. RNAcentral's name for it is "partial 16S ribosomal RNA". It matches the Rfam family "Bacterial small subunit ribosomal RNA", at positions 28 to 507 of the family's 1533-position model. The record is from RNAcentral.